GACGAACGCUGGCGGCGUGCUUAACACAUGCAAGUCGAACGAUGAAAGAGGAGCUUGCUCCUCUGGAUUAGUGGCGAACGGGUGAGUAACACGUGAGCAAUCUGCCCCUGACUCUGGAAUAACUACGGGAAACUGUAGCUAAUACCGGAUAUGCGCCGAACAGGCAUCUGUAUCGGUGGGAAAGAAUUUCGGUCAGGGAUGAGCUCGCGGCCUAUCAGCUUGUUGGUGAGGUAACGGCUCACCAAGGCGACGACGGGUAGCCGGCCUGAGAGGGUGACCGGCCACAUUGGGACUGAGACACGGCCCAGACUCCUACGGGAGGCAGCAGUGGGGAAUAUUGCACAAUGGGCGCAAGCCUGAUGCAGCAACGCCGCGUGAGGGAUGACGGCCUUCGGGUUGUAAACCUCUUUUAGCAGGGAAGAAGCGAAAGUGACGGUACCUGCAGAAAAAGCGCCGGCUAACUACGUG
This 468-nucleotide ribosomal RNA is filed under the name uncultured bacterium. RNAcentral describes it as "partial 16S ribosomal RNA". It matches the Rfam family "Bacterial small subunit ribosomal RNA", at positions 28 to 507 of the family's 1533-position model. The record is from RNAcentral.